UCCAGACUCCUACGGGAGGCAGCAGUGGGGAAUAUUGCACAAUGGGGGGAACCCUGAUGCAGCGACGCCGCGUGGGUGAAGGAGUGCUUCGGCAUGUAAAGCCCUAUCGGCAGGGAAGAAGCAAGACGGUACCUGACUAAGAAGCCCCGGCUAACUACGUGCCAGCAGCCGCGGUAAUACGUAGGGGGCAAGCGUUAUCCGGAUUUACUGGGUGUAAAGGGAGCGUAGACGGCCAGACAAGUCUGAAGUGAAAAUCCAGCGCUUAACGUUGGAAGUGCUUUGGAAACUGCCGGGCUGGAGUGCAGGAGGGGCAGGCGGAAUUCCUAGUGUAGCGGUGAAAUGCGUAGAUAUUAGGAGGAACACCAGUGGCGAAGGCGGCCUGCUGGACUGCAACUGACGUUGAGGCUCGAAGGCGUGGGGAGCAAACAGGAUUAGAUACCCCCGUA
RNAcentral lists this ribosomal RNA (446 nucleotides) under uncultured bacterium. RNAcentral's name for it is "bacterial SSU rRNA". It matches the Rfam family "Bacterial small subunit ribosomal RNA", at positions 330 to 792 of the family's 1533-position model. The record is from RNAcentral.